GGGCGGUUAGCUCAGCUGGUUAGAGCGUCACAUUGACAUUGUGAAGGUCGGAGGUUCGAGCCCUCUACCGCCCACCA
Molecule: transfer RNA, 77 nt
Filed under: Candidatus Wildermuthbacteria bacterium RIFCSPHIGHO2_02_FULL_45_25
Lineage: Bacteria; Candidatus Wildermuthiibacteriota
Description: tRNA-Val
Rfam family: tRNA
About the family: Transfer RNA (tRNA) molecules are approximately 80 nucleotides in length. Their secondary structure includes four short double-helical elements and three loops (D, anti-codon, and T loops).
Source: RNAcentral